RNAcentral lists this ribosomal RNA (614 nucleotides) under uncultured cyanobacterium. RNAcentral describes it as "bacterial SSU rRNA". It matches the Rfam family "Bacterial small subunit ribosomal RNA", at positions 122 to 770 of the family's 1533-position model. Lineage: Bacteria; Bacillati; Cyanobacteriota. The record is from RNAcentral.
GAAUCUGGCUUCAGGUUCGGGACAACAGUUGGAAACGGCUGCUAAUACCGGAUGUGCCUAAGGGUGAAAGAUUUAUCACCUGAAGAUGAGCUCGCGUCUGAUUAGCUAGUAGGUGUGGUAAGAGCGCACCUAGGCGACGAUCAGUAGCUGGUCUGAGAGGAUGAUCAGCCACACUGGGACUGAGACACGGCCCAGACUCCUACGGGAGGCAGCAGUGGGGAAUUUUCCGCAAUGGGCGAAAGCCUGACGGAGCAAUACCGCGUGAGGGAGGAAGGCUCUUGGGUUGUAAACCUCUUUUCUCAGGGAAGAAUGAUGACGGUACCUGAGGAAUAAGCAUCGGCUAACUCCGUGCCAGCAGCCGCGGUAAUACGGAGGAUGCAAGCGUUAUCCGGAAUGAUUGGGCGUAAAGCGUCCGCAGGUGGCAAUGUAAGUCUGCUGUCAAAGCGUCUGGCUCAACCAGAUAAAGGCAGUGGAAACUACAUAGCUAGAGUAAGGUAGGGGUAGAGGGAAUUCCUGGUGUAGCGGUGAAAUGCGUAGAGAUCAGGAAGAACACCGGUGGCGAAAGCGCUCUGCGGGACCUUAACUGACACUGAGGGACGAAAGCUAGGGGAGCG